Molecule: transfer RNA, 27 nt
Filed under: Saponaria calabrica
Lineage: Eukaryota; Viridiplantae; Streptophyta; Magnoliopsida; Caryophyllales; Caryophyllaceae
Description: partial tRNA-Lys
Source: RNAcentral
CUCAACGGUAAGGUACUCGGCUUUUAA